Molecule: non-coding RNA, 279 nt
Organism: Vicia faba (fava bean)
Lineage: Eukaryota; Viridiplantae; Streptophyta; Magnoliopsida; Fabales; Fabaceae
Source: the annotation of a GenBank genome assembly
AUGGGUUUGAUUUCCAACAGAGUUGAGAGACAUGAGAUAAAACCCGGCGACCAUGUCUACACUUACAGAGCUGUUUUCACUUACUCUCAUCACGGAAUAUUUGUUGGGGGGAGCAAGGUCGUACAUUUCAGGCCUGAUAGAAACUUCAAGUCAGUCACCGACACAUCUUCAAACUUUGACGAUCCAACACCAACUCCAUGUCCAACCUUUCCUGAUUGUGGAUUCCGCCAACCCAAUAGUGGAAAUAAGAGGUGGCACAUGCACUACCGCAUUACCUGA